RNAcentral lists this ribosomal RNA (210 nucleotides) under SAR202 cluster bacterium. RNAcentral describes it as "partial 16S ribosomal RNA". It matches the Rfam family "Bacterial small subunit ribosomal RNA", at positions 1334 to 1533 of the family's 1533-position model. The record is from RNAcentral. Lineage: Bacteria; Bacillati; Chloroflexota; Dehalococcoidia.
GCUAGUAACCGCAGGUCAGCACACUGCGGUGAAUACGUUCCCGGGCCUUGUACACACCGCCCGUCACGUCAUGGAAGUUGGCAACACUUGAAGUCAUUGGGUGAACCUCUUUGAGGACACAGAUGCCGAAAGUGGGGCUGAUGACUGGGACGAAGUCGUAACAAGGUAGCUGUACCGGAAGGUGCGGCUGGAUCACCUCCUUUUAUGGAG